Molecule: non-coding RNA, 74 nt
Organism: Dallia pectoralis (Alaska blackfish)
Lineage: Eukaryota; Metazoa; Chordata; Actinopteri; Esociformes; Umbridae
Source: the annotation of a GenBank genome assembly
UAUUGUGUCGCUCAGUUGGUAUGAGUGUGGUGCUUGCAAAGCCAGGUUUGUGGGUUCAAUUCCCACUGGGGGAA